GACGAACGCUGGCGGCGUGCUUGACACAUGCAAGUCGAACGGAAAGGCCUGCUUUCCCUUGUGGAUUGCGGGUACUCGAGUGGCGAACGGGUGAGUAACACGUGAGUGAUCUGCCCCCAACUUGGGUAUAAGCCUGGGAAACUGGGUCUAAUUCCCGAUAGGACUGCAGGGUGGUGCCUGUGGUGGAAAACGAUUUUCUAGUGGUUGGGGAUGAGCUCGCGGCCUAUCAGCUUGUUGGUGGGGUAAUGGCCUACCAAGGCGGCGACGGGUAGCCGGCCUGGGAGGGUGGACGGCCACAUUGGGACUGAGAUACGGCCCAGACUCCUACGGGAGGCAGCAGUGGGGAAGAUUGCACAAUGGGCGGAAGCCUGAUGCAGCGACGCCGCGUGGGGGAUGACGGCCUUCGGGUUGUAAACUCCUUUCGACCGCGAGGAAGCCACCUGGUUGGAAGGGUGGUGACGGUAGUGGUAGAAGAAGCACCGGCUAACUACGUG
Molecule: ribosomal RNA, 494 nt
Filed under: uncultured bacterium
Lineage: Bacteria
Description: partial 16S ribosomal RNA
Rfam family: Bacterial small subunit ribosomal RNA
Source: RNAcentral